AGAGUUUGAUCCUGGCUCAGGAUGAACGCUGGCGGCGUGCUUAACACAUGCAAGUCGAACGGGAAAUAUUUCAUUGAGACUUCGGUGGAUUUGAUCUAUUUCUAGUGGCGGACGGGUGAGUAACGCGUGGGUAACCUGCCUUAUACAGGGGGAUAACAGUCAGAAAUGGCUGCUAAUACCGCAUAAGCGCACAGAGCUGCAUGGCUCAGUGUGAAAAACUCCGGUGGUAUAAGAUGGACCCGCGUUGGAUUAGCUUGUUGGUGGGGUAACGGCCCACCAAGGCGACGAUCCAUAGCCGGCCUGAGAGGGUGAACGGCCACAUUGGGACUGAGACACGGCCCAGACUCCUACGGGAGGCAGCAGUGGGGAAUAUUGCACAAUGGGGGAAACCCUGAUGCAGCGACGCCGCGUGAAGGAAGAAGUAUCUCGGUAUGUAAACUUCUAUCAGCAGGGAAGAUAGUGACGGUACCUGACUAAGAAGCCCGGCUAACUACGUGCCAGCAGCCGCGGU
This 511-nucleotide ribosomal RNA is filed under the name Ruminococcus sp. CO1. RNAcentral describes it as "bacterial SSU rRNA". It matches the Rfam family "Bacterial small subunit ribosomal RNA", at positions 8 to 521 of the family's 1533-position model. Lineage: Bacteria; Bacillati; Bacillota; Clostridia; Eubacteriales; Oscillospiraceae. The record is from RNAcentral.